Dermacentor silvarum is the source of this 673-nucleotide long non-coding RNA. RefSeq lists it as uncharacterized. The transcript is spliced from 3 exons. Lineage: Eukaryota; Metazoa; Arthropoda; Arachnida; Ixodida; Ixodidae. The record is from RefSeq and is a predicted model, not a curated record.
GCCGAUUGUCCAAAACCGGGCUCCGAGUUCAAGCGGCGAAGUGCGAAUUUUUCAAGGAGAGCCUUGAGUUUCUGGGGCAUCGAAUUGACGCUAAGGGCAUCUACCCCUCGAAAGCAAAGGUUGAGGCCAUCCACCAGGCUCCUGCUCCGAAGAACAAAAAGGAACUGCAAGCCUUUUUGGGAAAACCCAGGACCAUGGAAACGCAGAUUGCCUGAGUAGGUUGCCGGCUCCCUUAACCCGACAGGAGACUGAAGUACCGGGUGACAUACUCCUACUGGAAGCUGUGGAGUACCCUCCAGUGAGCGCACGAGAAGUGGCAGCGUACACCAGCAGUGAUCCCCAGCUGUCCCAAGUGAAGAAAUGGAUCCUGGAGGGUUGGCCACGCGAGCGAGUAGCCCCGGAGUACUCUGCGUAUGAGCACUCUACGCCACACUCCGAAACCGGCAAAUCACCUGCAGAAGUCAUGCUGGGUCGGAACUUCAGGACGGCCAUAUCGACCCUUCAACGGGACGAGAGCGAAGCAAGAUGCCUGCUGCCGCCUCCACAACGUGGGUUCCUGCCGGGUGAUACUGUGUACGCGAGAAACUUCCGGCCCGGCCCCGAGUGGGUUCCUGGUCGUGUGUUGCGACGCUUGGGCCACAUCAUGUACGAGCUGCGGACUGCAGACGGUACU